GCUGCUAUUGCACCCCCAACAGGAUUUCAAGGUAUCAUUUCAUGGCUGUUUCCUCCAGCAAUAGUUGCAGGAAUGUACUUCAAUGUUCCUGGGGAGUAUUUGUACAUUGGAGCAGCUGUGUUUACAAUUGUGUUCUGUAUCAUUGAGAUGGACAAACCAAGUGAAGCACACAAUUUCGAGCCUCAAAUAUAUAACAUGGAGAGAGGUGCGCGAGAUAAGUUGAUAUCGGAUUAUAACACAAUGGACAUUUGGGAAUUCAACGAAAAGUAUGGUGAUUUAUGGGAUUUUACUGUUAAGAAGGA
Molecule: unclassified non-coding RNA, 302 nt
Filed under: Hevea brasiliensis (rubber tree)
Lineage: Eukaryota; Viridiplantae; Streptophyta; Magnoliopsida; Malpighiales; Euphorbiaceae
Source: RNAcentral